This 66-nucleotide transfer RNA is filed under the name Diaphanosoma excisum. RNAcentral describes it as "tRNA-Glu". The record is from RNAcentral. Lineage: Eukaryota; Metazoa; Arthropoda; Branchiopoda; Diplostraca; Sididae.
GCUGUUAUAGUAUAAAAAUUACUUUAUCUUUUCAUGAUAAGAAUGAGAAUCUGAUCUCUAACAGUU